Molecule: transfer RNA, 72 nt
Filed under: Verrucomicrobia bacterium RIFCSPHIGHO2_12_FULL_41_10
Lineage: Bacteria; Pseudomonadati; Verrucomicrobiota
Also listed under: 4 other names
Description: tRNA-Thr
Rfam family: tRNA
About the family: Transfer RNA (tRNA) molecules are approximately 80 nucleotides in length. Their secondary structure includes four short double-helical elements and three loops (D, anti-codon, and T loops). Further hydrogen bonds mediate the characteristic L-shaped molecular structure. tRNAs have two regions of fundamental functional importance: the anti-codon, which is responsible for specific mRNA codon recognition, and the 3' end, to which the tRNAs corresponding amino acid is attached (by aminoacyl-tRNA synthetases). tRNAs cope with the degeneracy of the genetic code in two manners: having more than one tRNA (with a specific anti-codon) for a particular amino acid; and 'wobble' base-pairing, i.e. permitting non-standard base-pairing at the 3rd anti-codon position.
Source: RNAcentral
GCCGACGUAGCACAGUGGUAGUGCAGCUGAUUCGUAAUCAGCAGGUCAGGGGUUCGAAUCCCCUCGUCGGCU